GGAUGAUUCUUUGCCCUUGUAUGCAUAGGUUGCCUUUUACCUUUAGCAUUCUGCCAAAGUUUGGUCAUUCAUAGAGAGAUCAUUUUGCUGCAUUGAACCCACUCAGGCAUUGAUGAGAUCAUUUUAGUCUCAUAACCUCACCCUAGCCAAACUAUGUUUGUUUAAACAAUGCAUCAUUUGAUCCACUUGGUAAAAAGCUUAAUGAAUGUGAAAGAGUUGAGAGAGAGAAGAACUUGUGGAGAUUCCUUGUUGAGUUGAUAUAUAUCUGAGUAUGGC
This 276-nucleotide long non-coding RNA is filed under the name Eutrema salsugineum. RNAcentral's name for it is "long non-coding RNA (ESAL_LNC000244)". The record is from RNAcentral. Lineage: Eukaryota; Viridiplantae; Streptophyta; Magnoliopsida; Brassicales; Brassicaceae.